RNAcentral lists this ribosomal RNA (640 nucleotides) under Vibrio vulnificus. Its description in RNAcentral is "bacterial SSU rRNA". It matches the Rfam family "Bacterial small subunit ribosomal RNA", at positions 12 to 641 of the family's 1533-position model. Lineage: Bacteria; Pseudomonadati; Pseudomonadota; Gammaproteobacteria; Vibrionales; Vibrionaceae. The record is from RNAcentral.
UUUGAUCAUGGCUCAGAUUGAACGCUGGCGGCAGGCCUAACACAUGCAAGUCGAGCGGCAGCACAGAGAAACUUGUUUCUCGGGUGGCGAGCGGCGGACGGGUGAGUAAUGCCUGGGAAAUUGCCCUGAUGUGGGGGAUAACCAUUGGAAACGAUGGCUAAUACCGCAUGAUGCCUACGGGCCAAAGAGGGGGACCUUCGGGCCUCUCGCGUCAGGAUAUGCCCAGGUGGGAUUAGCUAGUUGGUGAGGUAAGGGCUCACCAAGGCGACGAUCCCUAGCUGGUCUGAGAGGAUGAUCAGCCACACUGGAACUGAGACACGGUCCAGACUCCUACGGGAGGCAGCAGUGGGGAAUAUUGCACAAUGGGCGCAAGCCUGAUGCAGCCAUGCCGCGUGUGUGAAGAAGGCCUUCGGGUUGUAAAGCACUUUCAGUUGUGAGGAAGGUGGUGUCGUUAAUAGCGGCAUCAUUUGACGUUAGCAACAGAAGAAGCACCGGCUAACUCCGUGCCAGCAGCCGCGGUAAUACGGAGGGUGCGAGCGUUAAUCGGAAUUACUGGGCGUAAAGCGCAUGCAGGUGGUUUGUUAAGUCAGAUGUGAAAGCCCGGGGCUCAACCUCGGAACUGCAUUUGAAACUGGCAGAC